Molecule: RNA transcript, 3375 nt
Organism: Epinephelus moara (kelp grouper)
Lineage: Eukaryota; Metazoa; Chordata; Actinopteri; Perciformes; Serranidae
Gene: rnf4
Gene name: ring finger protein 4
Exons: 9
Source: RefSeq, a predicted model, not a curated record
CUGGUUACCAACUUCCGGUACAGAAGAAGAAGAAGGAGGAGGAGCAGGAGGAGCUCCUGAAACAGGCGGUAGAAGCUAACGUUAGCAUCAUCUGUCCGACGGAGACAUUUCAGUCGGUUUAUUUUGAUAUUUUAAUGUUUAAAUGUUUAAACGUUAACGAGCCGCUAACUGCUAAGUGCUAACUGCUAACAGCUAAGAGAGGAGAAAACACAGUGACGAGUCUCUGGUGUCUCUGAUAUGAGCAGCUCUGUUCAGAGGAAGAGGAGGACCACAGGAAGUCCUCUGGUGUCCAGACCCAGCACCAAGACCAGCAGAGGGACAAACACUCGGAGGACGGCCAGCAGAGCAGCGAGCAGGACGGCUGAUGGUGACCCUGACCCCGACCCCCCCACAGAGACUGUCGACGUGAUGGACAACGCAGAGGACAGUGUGGAGGAGGUGGUGGAUCUGACCUGUGAGGGCUCAGAGGCUGCCGUGGUCGACCUGACCAACAACGACUCAGUGCUGCUGGUGGACGAAGGUCCUCAGAACAGGAGAGUCACAACAGGAGAGAGUUAUGUCGUCAGCAGUGAUGAAGAUGACGACAUGCCCUCUGUCCUCAACGCUGCAAUGAUGUCCUCUGUACACAGCAACAGCUCCUCCAGGUCGACCCCGGGGACGAUCAGCUGUCCCGUGUGUCUGGACUCGUACUCUGAGAUCGUCGAGAGCGGCCGAUUGGUUGUUUCCACUAAAUGUGGUCACGUGUUCUGCAGCCAGUGUCUGAGAGACGCUCUGAAGUCAUCACACACCUGUCCCACCUGCAGGAAGAGACUGACCCCCCGCCAGUACCACCCUCUCUACAUCUGACAUCACUCUGACAUCAUCAUUACACAUCUACACCUGUACCACCCCCUCUAUGUCUCUGACAUCAUCACACACCUGGGCCCUGACUGUACCGCCCCCUCUACAUCUGACAUCGCUCUGACAUCAUCAUCACACACCUGAGUCACAGUGAAGUGGAGCUACAGCUCCAGCUGGACGAGGACAUCUAACUGGCCUACUGUCCUUGUCCCAGUAUACAAGCACGGGAGGGGAAUCCAUUUAUUGAGCCAAGUAUGUGCGACUCCUCUACGAUAGGUGGAGAUAUGCCCCCUUUCAGCUUGUUAGUAUUGGACCUUUUUCCUGUUGACCUAUUACGUCACAGACCAAACAAUGGACAAACAAGUUAGCUACGGUUAGCUAGCAGCUAACUGGUACCAUGGUGGACAACUUUACAGCUCUGUACAUUUGGUCCGUCCAAAAAGUCACGGCUCUGGAUGUAGAUUUCUCCAUGUUGUUACCAGCUUCUUCUUCUCUUACACAUUUAAUGCUAUUGGACUUCUGGUUCAAAGCCCGGGGCGGAAACUGUGGAGCAUGCUCAGAGCGCCUCGGCCAGUUUCGGUCUGAUUGACUGUAUACAUGCACACUCAGUCACACACUGACAUGUGUGACUGAGUGUGUGUCUGUGACUGAGUGUGUGUCUGUGAUCAGACCAACACAGCUGUGAUGGUACACAGUCGUGUGUGCAGGAAGUACAGCAGGGGACCAAGAACGCAGCCCUGAGGUGCUCCUGUGUGAGGGAUGAGGGUGGAGCUUCUCUUCCAGGUGAGACAGGGUGUGUGGAGGAUGCUGCUGUAGAGUCUCUGUAGAUCGGUUGGGUCAGUCCUCACCACAGAGGUGACAGCUGCUCACCGUCGUCACUCAGGCAGGUUGGUUUUGUUUUCUUGGUCACAGGACUGAUGGAGGACUGAUGGAGGACUUCUUAAAGGACGUGGUUCUGACACACUGAGCCUGUGGGCGGUUCAAUAUUGUUGUGAACACAGGUGUUAGCGGUUCAGCACCUAGUUUGAGGACACGCCCACUGUUACAGUCUGGAUUGAUUUGAUUGAUUUUGCUCUUCAGCCACGUCUGAACGCCGUACAGCAGUGAUCCAGUGUUUGUUCUCCUUGAGGUUUACAUGUAGGCGGAGCUUCAUGGAAGUCUCCAAUAACAACGAGCGCAGCGUCAGGAUGAUCAGCUUCAGAGUGAUUUAGGAACGUUGUCAUAGCGACUCUGAGCGAGGAAGGUUCAGAAACUGGUGUGGUCAACCCUUUUGUACGGUGUGAUGUGAUUGGUUGUCAGAGACACGCCCCUCUGUGAGGCUGGAAGGUGUGAGGACACCCAGUGGACAUGAGAUGAACUGCAGACUGUCAGUGUUAGUGUGAUCACUGCUGAUGAAGGCUGAGACAGACUCAACUCAUCACUGCUGCUCUGACCUCACAUACCUCAGUGAUGAUGUCAUCAUUUUGUUUCUGACGUCACAGUGUCAGGUGCGUGUAUCUCUGAUGAGAUCGACCACAAAUAUUAUCGAUCUAAUCUGUAGUGUUUCAUGUCCUCACUGUCAUCCAGUGUUUGGAGAAUAUUUCUGUGACCUCUUUGUGUUCCCACCAUUUUCUCCUCUGAUUCACAAACUCUUAAACUCCUCCUCCUCCUCCUGCUCCUGCCCCUCCUCCUGCUCUGACUGGUUUCUCCUCAGGAGCUCUUUAAGGUCUUGAAGAAGCGAAAAUUGGUGCCUGGAAGUGGGCCAGAUGGCUCCCGACCUCGUCCUCUACUUUUGUUGUAGAUCGUCCUCUGAGUUGAUUUAGUACCUUAGGUUCAGUUGGCUGACACUUAGAGAAACACUGGAGUCAAAUAUAAUCUGGUGCAAUUGAGUUUAAUGUGUUCACAAGCUUCAACACAUACAACUCUGAGUCAGGCUCCGGAGCAAGACUAAGUUUCACUUUCUGCGCUCUCCCUUUUAUGCUGGUGAAGAUUCGAGAGAAUCUCCACCCUUUUUCUUUAGUCCUUCCUACCUGUGUUCAAAUCUAUUGGUGGCAGGUCUUUUUCUUUUUAGCCCUUUUCCAUCUGGUCCAAAUCUAUUGGUGGCAGGCCCCUUGGGCCCUUGUCCAAACAUGACCUAAUAGUGUAAUCCCUGGGCCCAAAUUCUCCCACCAUUAGAUUUGAGCCUGGUUUCACUUUAUUUUUUAAAAACAUAUGAAACCUGGGCACUUUCUCUAUACAGUCCCCUGUGCUUUCGUGCAAUGUGAACUCUUAGAGUGUGUGUCAUGCAAUACAAACGUUAGAGUGUGUGUGUUAUUAUUAAACAGUACAUGGUGUGGUAUAUGUGUGCUCUUCAAUAUGAAUACAUAACCUUGUGUUAUGAAUACAUAUACUUGUAUAACAGUGUUUUAUCACACAUAGAUGCAUAACAAACAGUUUUAUUGGAACUUAUACAUAAAACAUGGUUAUAUAACAUUUACUCUUAAUCAACUUAUGCAGUAUAACGCCUUUACCUGAUUAAAGAUUAAAUCUUACACUACAGUCUGAGACGCUCUGUGA